This 523-nucleotide ribosomal RNA is filed under the name uncultured bacterium. RNAcentral's name for it is "bacterial SSU rRNA". It matches the Rfam family "Bacterial small subunit ribosomal RNA", at positions 15 to 518 of the family's 1533-position model. The record is from RNAcentral.
GAUUAUGGCUCAGAACGAACGCUGGUAGCGUGGAUUAGGCAUGCAAGGUCGAACGGGAUCGUCUGGAUAGCAAUAUUCGGGCGUGAGAGUGGCGGAUUGGGGAGGAACACGUGAGCAACCUGUCCUGGGUGGGGAAAACCGCGGGAAACUGCGGCUAAUACCGGAUGUGGCGCCUGGAGACAUCUCCGGAGCGCUAAAGGGGGCCGCAAGGCUCCCGCCCUGGGAGGGGCUCGCGCACCAUCAGCUAGUUGGCGGGGUAACGGCCCACCAAGGCGUACGGUUAGCUGGUCUGGGAGGAUGACCAGCCCCACUGGGACUGAGAUACUGCCCAGACUCCUACGGGAGGCUGCAGUCGAGGAUCAUUUGCAAUGGGCGAAAGCCUGACAAUGCGACGUUGCGUGGAGGAUGAAGGCCUUCGGGUUGUAAACUCCUGUCAUAGGGGAACAGGCGAGGGGACCCAACACGUCCCUUAGUUGAGUGUACUCUAAAAGGAAGCGACGGCUAACUCUGUGCCAGCAGCGGC